GUCUUUGAGGUUAUCAAUUUAAAGUCUAGCCUGCUCACUGAUAGAAUAUUAAAGGGCCGCGGUAAUUUGACCGUGCGAAGGUAGCAUAAUCAUUUGUCUUUUAAUUGAGGGCUGGAAUGAACGGUUGGAUGAGGGGUCAAGUGUCUCUGUGUCUUAGUUAAAAUUUUACUUUUAAGUGAAAAGGCUUAAAUCUGAUUAAGUGAAGAUAAGACCCUAUAAAACUUAUAUAAAAGUGAGGUACGUCGUUUUUAAUAUUGUUCAGAAUUGGGUGCUUGAGAUUAUAUUUUGCUGGGGCGGUAGUAAUAGAAUGAGGUAUCUGUUGUUUCUAAUAGGUUAGUUGUGAUUAAAAGAUGAGCCUUUUAUAGGGAUUAAAAGAUCAAGUUACUUUAGGGAUAACAGCGUGAUUUUCCUUGAGAGAUCUAAUCGACAGGAGUAGUUGCGACCUCGAUGUUGAAUNAAAAUCUUCUACAAAGUGCAGAAGCUUUGUUAGUGAGUCUGUUCGACUCUUAAAAUUUUACAUGAUUUGAGUUCAAACCGGUGUGAGCCAGGU
RNAcentral lists this ribosomal RNA (550 nucleotides) under Philarius gerlachei. Its description in RNAcentral is "partial large subunit ribosomal RNA". It matches the Rfam family "Bacterial large subunit ribosomal RNA", at positions 1829 to 2631 of the family's 2925-position model. Lineage: Eukaryota; Metazoa; Arthropoda; Malacostraca; Decapoda; Palaemonidae. The record is from RNAcentral.